This 304-nucleotide unclassified non-coding RNA is filed under the name Fusarium sp. Its description in RNAcentral is "partial contains 5.8S ribosomal RNA, internal transcribed spacer 2, and large subunit ribosomal RNA". The stretch from base 1 to 71 matches the Rfam family "5.8S ribosomal RNA", at positions 84 to 154 of the family's 154-position model. The record is from RNAcentral. Lineage: Eukaryota; Fungi; Ascomycota; Sordariomycetes; Hypocreales; Nectriaceae.
GUGAGUCAUCGAAUCUUUGAACGCACAUUGCGCCCGCCAGUAUUCUGGCGGGCAUGCCUGUUCGAGCGUCAUUACAACCCUCAGGCCCCCGGGCCUGGCGUUGGGGAUCGGCGAGGCGCCCCCCGUGGGCACGCGCCGUCCCCCAAAUACAGUGGCGGUCCCGCCGCAGCUUCCAUUGCGUAGUAGCUAACACCUCGCAACUGGAGAGCGGCGCGGCCACGCCGUAAAACACCCAACUUCUGAAUGUUGACCUCGAAUCAGGUAGGAAUACCCGCUGAACUUAAGCAUAUCAAUAAGCGGAGGA